RNAcentral lists this transfer RNA (92 nucleotides) under Metarhizium robertsii. Its description in RNAcentral is "tRNA-Glu". It matches the Rfam family "tRNA". From Rfam's summary of the family: Transfer RNA (tRNA) molecules are approximately 80 nucleotides in length. Their secondary structure includes four short double-helical elements and three loops (D, anti-codon, and T loops). Lineage: Eukaryota; Fungi; Ascomycota; Sordariomycetes; Hypocreales; Clavicipitaceae. RNAcentral also lists the same sequence under 1 other name. The record is from RNAcentral.
UCCGAUGUGGUGUAACGGCUAUCAUACUGCGCUUUCAUAUUACCAGAUUUGGAAGUGCCGCAGGGACCGGGGUUCGACUCCCCGCAUCGGAG